This is a long non-coding RNA of Musa acuminata AAA Group (dessert banana), 892 nucleotides long. RefSeq lists it as uncharacterized. The record is from RefSeq and is a predicted model, not a curated record. The transcript is spliced from 3 exons. Lineage: Eukaryota; Viridiplantae; Streptophyta; Magnoliopsida; Zingiberales; Musaceae.
AUUUGCUGCAGUCUUAAUCUAUUUUAUUUCCUUUUUUGUGUUUUACAGAUCUCUUUUGCUUGCUUUAUCCUGGACUGUGUAAUUUUCAAUUUGCUGCUCAUCAUCAUGGUCAUUGGGAAUUACCGGCAGAUCCACCGGAUCGAACAAAGAUUCACUAAGAAGACACCAUAGGCAUCACGGUGGUACCCUGGACUUGCUUUUAUCUGGGGCAGGAGUUCAUCAGAGUUGGGUACUAUGUGAACAAUGACUACGAUGAUGAGCAGCUCGGAGAAGAACCACCUCCAAGGGUUUUGAUCGACACAGUUCAGCGGCAUGUCUUGGCUGACAAGCCUCGCGUGACAAUAUUAGCGAAAAUGGUGGGCAGCAACAGCAGCCACCUAACUCACCUUCACCUCAAAAUCAUGCCGAUGAUGAUCCUCCAUCCAUCCGACACUCCAAGCAGUGAAUGUUUUCAGCAGCAUGAUCACUUCCUGGAGCAUUGCAAGAAUGAAGGCACUUUUGAGCACAAAAGCCAUUGCCAUUGGAGAGCCAAUUAAGUGUUGCAAUGCCAUAUGCAUGUCCGCUCGGUUGUUCGGGAAUGAUACAGAGGCGAAAAAGCCAAGAAGAAGAUGAAGACGAAGGGACAACGCCUUGGGGGGGAACGUACGAUGACGACUACUGUUCCAGUUGAGCAUACCAGAUGCCUUGGAUCUUCACAUCCUUGGGAGUCUUGGCGCCCAGGUCGGUGUCCGAUGGCUGCAGGCUCUCGAACACGCCGAUCACCUCUCCGGUCUCGGGCUUGCUCUUGGUCACGCUCAGCGUGAUAGACCCGGUGGACGACGAGGUGUUCUUGAUGUUCUCCUUGCUCAGCUCCUCCUCGUCUCCCCUGCCUCCGGCCGGCAGAGCCACGGCG